This 378-nucleotide ribosomal RNA is filed under the name Triticum aestivum (bread wheat). RNAcentral's name for it is "partial small subunit ribosomal RNA". Lineage: Eukaryota; Viridiplantae; Streptophyta; Magnoliopsida; Poales; Poaceae. The record is from RNAcentral.
AUGGAAUCACCUCACCAACAGACGACGAUAUGGUUUCAUCAGCGUUUGCAAUAUUGUGCUUUGCAUGUGGAAUCUGCUCGUGAUUCUGGUUCCCUCUCCAACACUGGACACUGCAUCUCCAACACUGGACACUGCAUCAUCUGCAUCGGCACCACUAUAAUUUUCUUUUGGAGCCAAAUCAUCAUUGUGGCUCUGAGGAACAGCUUCAUCGGCAUUGGUCACCGCAUCACCAGUAUUCUUCCCUUGGUUUCCCUUCUUCUUCCUGUUCCUCUUCUUUUUGCCAUCCAUCUCUUGUUUUGCAGCUUAGCCCUUAAAUUACUAUCUGUAUCUACUAGCAUGGCGACAACGAACAAAAUGAACUUUCAGCUAAUUUGUUGA